This 204-nucleotide long non-coding RNA is filed under the name Amborella trichopoda. RNAcentral's name for it is "long non-coding RNA (ATRI_LNC002947)". Lineage: Eukaryota; Viridiplantae; Streptophyta; Magnoliopsida; Amborellales; Amborellaceae. The record is from RNAcentral.
AUUGUCGUAAAUGGGAUGGAAUCAAUUGCCUCUCAAUGAAUAGAGUAAUGGCUACCUUCCUCUGUGGCCAAGAAGAUGACCCCAACAGCUUUUUAUCAGGCCCAUCUCAUUACCUCUCUCUAAACUUACUUACCUCAAUUGGAUUUAUCUCCAGAAUCUCAAAAAAAUUACAGGUACUUUGCCCACUUUUCUAUUCAAAAUCCC